RNAcentral lists this ribosomal RNA (253 nucleotides) under uncultured bacterium. Its description in RNAcentral is "partial 16S ribosomal RNA". It matches the Rfam family "Bacterial small subunit ribosomal RNA", at positions 524 to 776 of the family's 1533-position model. The record is from RNAcentral.
UACGUAGGGUGCAAGCGUUAAUCGGAAUUACUGGGCGUAAAGCGUGCGCAGGCGGCUUUGCAGGACAGAUGUGAAAUCCCCGGGCUCAACCUGGGAACUGCAUUUGUGACUGCAUGGCUAGAGUACGGUAGAGGGGGAUGGAAUUCCGCGUGUAGCAGUGAAAUGCGUAGAUAUGCGGAGGAACACCGAUGGCGAAGGCAAUCCCCUGGACCUGUACUGACGCUCAUGCACGAAAGCGUGGGGAGCAAACAGG